GUAUCCUAUCUGCCCAUCGCAUCUGUGACAAUUUAGGGGAAGAUAGAAAUACUCAAAUCAAUGAAGUAGAAAGAAAUCAAUAUCAAUCAUUGCUACAAAACCCAAUCCAAUACAUUUAUUUAUUUAUUUUUUGGGGGUGGGACGUUUGGAUUCAUUUGCUUCAAUACGUACAUACUUGUUCAUUAAUUUCCAUGAGAAAUUCCACUAUUCAUUAAAUAAUGUUAAAUGGUGGCAAUUUUGCAAAAGUUUUUCAUUUGGAGGGCAGUUUAUUCCAAUGGGUGUGUGGGCUGGGUUUUGGAAAUUAUGAUUAUUUCUUAAAGGAUUAUCAGAAUUUCCACUGCUUAUGACAGAUACUUUAUUGUUUCUAAUACCAAAUUCUCAAUAGCAGCAGCAAUAUCUGACAAAUUAUUGAUAUUCAUAUUCAUCUCAUCAAGAUGAAUUGGAGUUCAUAACUGUUAAAAAUUAGGGGAAAACAAUUUCGGGCAAG
This 487-nucleotide unclassified non-coding RNA is filed under the name Hevea brasiliensis (rubber tree). Lineage: Eukaryota; Viridiplantae; Streptophyta; Magnoliopsida; Malpighiales; Euphorbiaceae. The record is from RNAcentral.